UUUGCUCUCGAAUAACUGAAUGAGUUAUUGAUCUCUGUUCGGUUCAGACAGGAGCAUAUAGUGACGGUAUCGAACUUGUUGCUCGGAUGGUUUUUUAAUCUUCUGAAUGAAUUAGUUUGCAGUUUUGGAACUUUUUGUUCCUUUACGAAUUUAC
Molecule: non-coding RNA, 154 nt
Organism: Helianthus annuus (common sunflower)
Lineage: Eukaryota; Viridiplantae; Streptophyta; Magnoliopsida; Asterales; Asteraceae
Source: Rfam